RNAcentral lists this ribosomal RNA (460 nucleotides) under uncultured bacterium. RNAcentral describes it as "partial 16S ribosomal RNA". It matches the Rfam family "Bacterial small subunit ribosomal RNA", at positions 338 to 795 of the family's 1533-position model. The record is from RNAcentral.
CCUACGGGUGGCAGCAGUGAGGAAUAUUGGUCAAUGGGCGCGAGCCUGAACCAGCCAAGUAGCGUGAAGGAUGACUGCCCUACGGGUUGUAAACUUCUUUUAUAAAGGAAUAAAGUGAGGCACGUGUGCCUUUUUGUAUGUAUUUUAUGAAUAAGGAUCGGCUAACUCCGUGCCAGCAGCCGCGGUAAUACGGAGGAUCCGAGCGUUAUCCGGAUUGAUUGGGUUUAAAGGGAGCGUAGAUGGGUUGUUAAGUCAGUUGUGAAAGUUUGCGGCUCAACCGUAAAAUUGCAAUUGAUACUGGCAGUCUUGAGUACAGUUGAGGGAGGCGGAAUUCGUGGUGUAGCGGUGAAAUGCUUAGAUAUCACGAAGAACCCCGAUGGCGAAGGCAGCUUACUAAACUGUGACUGACAUUGAUGCUCGAAAGUGUGGGUAUCAAACAGGAUUAGAUACCCUUGUAGUC